Molecule: ribosomal RNA, 394 nt
Filed under: uncultured bacterium
Lineage: Bacteria
Description: bacterial SSU rRNA
Rfam family: Bacterial small subunit ribosomal RNA
Source: RNAcentral
GAUAAACGCUGGCGGCGUGCAUGAGACAUGCAAGUCGAACGGACGAUCGAGGCUUGCUUCGAUCGUUAGUGGCGGACGGCUGAGUAACGCGUAGGUGACCUGCCCCGAAGUGGGGAAUAACUGCCCGAAAGGGUGGCUAAUACCGCAUGUGGUGGUGUGUUCAAUCACACCAGUAAAGCCGCAAGGCGCUUCGGGAGGGGCCUGCGUCCGAUUAGCUCGNGGUGGGGUAACGGCUCACCAAGGCGACGAUCGGUAGGUGGUCUGAGAGGACGAUCACCCAGACUGGGACUGAGACACGGCCCAGACUCCUACGGGAGGCAGCAGUCGGGAAUUUUGCGCAAUGGACGAAAGUCUGACGCAGCAACGCCGCGUGAGGGAUGAAGGCCUUCGGGUU